This 484-nucleotide ribosomal RNA is filed under the name uncultured bacterium. RNAcentral's name for it is "partial 16S ribosomal RNA". It matches the Rfam family "Bacterial small subunit ribosomal RNA", at positions 30 to 507 of the family's 1533-position model. The record is from RNAcentral.
AUUGAACGCUGGCGGCAGGCCUAACACAUGCAAGUCGAGCGGAUGAAGGGAGCUUGCUCCUGGAUUCAGCGGCGGACGGGUGAGUAAUGCCUAGGAAUCUGCCUGGUAGUGGGGGAUAACGUCCGGAAACGGGCGCUAAUACCGCAUACGUCCUGAGGGAGAAAGUGGGGGAUCUUCGGACCUCACGCUAUCAGAUGAGCCUAGGUCGGAUUAGCUGGUUGGUGGGGUAAAGGCCUACCAAGGCGACGAUCCGUAACUGGUCUGAGAGGAUGAUCAGUCACACUGGAACUGAGACACGGUCCAGACUCCUACGGGAGGCAGCAGUGGGGAAUAUUGGACAAAGGGCGAAAGCCUGAUCCAGCCAUGCCGCGUGUGUGAAGAAGGUCUUCGGAUUGUAAAGCACUUUAAGUUGGGAGGAAGGGCAGUAAGUUAAUACCUUGCUGUUUUGACGUUACCAACAGAAUAAGCACCGGCUAACUUCGUG